RNAcentral lists this ribosomal RNA (183 nucleotides) under Acartia tonsa. RNAcentral's name for it is "partial 16S ribosomal RNA". Lineage: Eukaryota; Metazoa; Arthropoda; Copepoda; Calanoida; Acartiidae. The record is from RNAcentral.
UUUGGGGAAAAUUAAAAUAAAAUUAUUNUUAAUAAAAAUUGAUCUUUACAAAACUAAAUGAAAAAGGUACUCUAGGGAUAACAGCGUUAUAGUUAUUAAAGCCCAUAUUUAAGUAACUGUUUGCGACCUCGAUGUUGAAUUGCGAUUUUUUUUUUAAAGCAGAAAUUAAAAAUACANAGGUCU